UUUGAAGUGAGCCUAGAAAAUUAGAAAGGGGUAUUUUGCGAUGAAUAGGCGUGAGGCGCCAUGGACGGCGCCGAGAGCCCGACAACGAAACGGACUGAGUUAAAGGGCGGCGCCUAAGCAUCCAAAAUCCCCUUUCUUAAUUUUCUUGGCAAACGGAGUAU
This is a regulatory RNA element of Pseudobutyrivibrio ruminis, 161 nucleotides long. The record is from Rfam. Lineage: Bacteria; Bacillati; Bacillota; Clostridia; Lachnospirales; Lachnospiraceae.